This 395-nucleotide ribosomal RNA is filed under the name uncultured soil bacterium. Its description in RNAcentral is "bacterial SSU rRNA". It matches the Rfam family "Bacterial small subunit ribosomal RNA", at positions 26 to 444 of the family's 1533-position model. The record is from RNAcentral.
AGAGCGAACGCUGGCGGCAGGCCUAACACAUGCAAGUCGAACGGACCCUUCGGGGUUAGUGGCGGACGGGUGAGUAACACGUGGGAACGUGCCUUUAGGUUCGGAAUAGCUCCUGGAAACGGGUGGUAAUGCCGAAUGUGCCCUUCGGGGGAAAGAUUUAUCGCCUUUAGAGCGGCCCGCGUCUGAUUAGCUAGUUGGUGGGUAAUGGCCCACAAGGCUACGAUCAGUAGCUGGUCUGAGAGGAUGACCAGCCACAUUGGGACUGAGACACGGCCCAAACUCCUACGGGAGGCAGCAGGUGGGGAAUCGUUGCGCAAGUGGGACGAAAGCCUGACGCAGCCAUGCCGCGUGUAUGAUGAAGGUCGUUAGUAUUAGUAAAAUUACUUACAACCGGU